UUUGGAGUAGACGAUGUAGGGAUAUUGUGCAAGUAGAGUACCUCACAUUAUAUUUUCUCACGACGAGUGUUCAAAGGUGUGAAGUUAUUCUCUGCCUUACCUACCCUUUUGAAUGUUGACUUAUCCUUUAUGGGCAAGGUAUAAUUGCUCUUCCUCUGAUGAUGCAAGCUUUCGGUGUUGGGCACAUGCUCAUUGACAUCGUGUGCCUUAUUUUUGGCAUU
RNAcentral lists this long non-coding RNA (221 nucleotides) under Lathyrus oleraceus (garden pea). RNAcentral describes it as "Pisum sativum (pea) long non-coding RNA (PSAT_LNC007815)". Lineage: Eukaryota; Viridiplantae; Streptophyta; Magnoliopsida; Fabales; Fabaceae. The record is from RNAcentral.